GCAGCAGGCGCGAAACCUUUACACUGCACGACAGUGCGAUAAGGGAACUCCGAGUGCGAGGGCAUAGAGCCCUCGCUUUUGUACACCGUAAGGUGGUGCACGAAUAAGGGCUGGGCAAGACCGGUGCCAGCCGCCGCGGUAAUACCGGCAGCCCAAGUGAUGGCCGAUAUUAUUGGGCCUAAAGCGUCCGUAGCUGGCCGGACAAGUCCGUUGGGAAAUCCGCGCGCUCAACGCGCGGGCGUCCAGCGGAAACUGUCCGGCUUGGGGCCGGAAGACCUGAGGGGUACGUCCGGGGUAGGAGUGAAAUCCUGUAAUCUCGGACGGACCGCCUGUGGCGAAAGCGCCUCAGGAAGACGGACCCGACAGUGAGGGACGAAAGCCAGGGUCUCGAACCGGAUUAGAUACCCGGGUAGUCCUGGCUGUAAACGAUGUCCGCUAGGUGUGACGCAGGCUACGGGCCUGCGCUGUGCCGUAGGGAAGCCGUGAAGCGGACCGCCUGGGAAGUACGUCUGCAAGGAUGAAACUUAAAGGAAUUGGCGGGGGAGCGCUACAACC
Molecule: ribosomal RNA, 555 nt
Filed under: uncultured haloarchaeon
Lineage: Archaea; Methanobacteriati; Methanobacteriota; Halobacteria; Halobacteriales; Halobacteriaceae
Description: bacterial SSU rRNA
Rfam family: Archaeal small subunit ribosomal RNA
Source: RNAcentral